RNAcentral lists this long non-coding RNA (1302 nucleotides) under Felis catus (domestic cat). Its description in RNAcentral is "lncRNA (ENSFCAG00000050119.1)". Lineage: Eukaryota; Metazoa; Chordata; Mammalia; Carnivora; Felidae. The record is from RNAcentral.
AUGUGCGGCCCCGAGCCUCUGGUAGGCACACCGCCGGCUCGGUGGGCUGGAGAACUUUGCGAAGCGCCCCAAACUGCUCCUUGCUUCCACUCUCAGCCAUUUCUCUCGUUCUCCCCUCACAACGAGCCAGGGGACCGAGCAAGCCGUCGCCACCUGCCGCCGGAUCCCGGGGCGCUGCCUGUGGCACCCCCGAGGGAAGGCAGGCCAAUGGAAAGAGGGCAGAGGUUCACACCCCCACCCCCAAGCCUCACGUCUCCGAGCUGCCCGGAGGUGGCUGCACAGCCGGAGGGAACCGACGCCCCCGGGCCGGCUGCCUGCUCCCCCGCGGCGCCGGCCCCACCCCCAAUCCUUCCGGCGCCCCAGCGCCCACCCACCCGGGCGCAGGAGUGGGAGGGUGCCGCGUGGGCAGCGGGAGCAACAGGCGUGGGAGCAGCGCUCCUCACACUUCCUGGCUCCAGAAGGCUCGGUCGCGUCCCUCUUACCUUCGGCGAAGCGAGCCCCGGGCCCCGCGCCCCGCGCCCGCGCGCGCGAGGAAGCUGCGGCCGGGAGCCGGGGGCCGCGGAGGCGCGGAGCGCCCAGCAGCGCGGCGAAGCGCCCAGCAGCCGCCGCUCGCCGGCGAAGUCUCGCUCGCUCUCUCCCUGGCUCGGUCCGUUCGUGCGUCCCUCGGUCCUUGGGGCCCUCCCUCCCCCGCCGCCGCCGCCGCUCCAGCCCCGGCUCGGCGGCGCGUCCCCUCCCCGCUUCGCCGCCCCGCUCGCGGGCUCGCGGGCUCGCGGGCUCCCUCGCUCGCGCCCUGCCCCCGCCGCUGCCGGCGCCGCGCGGAGCGGAGCCCGGCGGGCCACGGGCUGCCUGGCGAGGUCCCUCUCCCGAAGGGGGAGGCGUUGGGGGCGCGGCGCGGGCGGGGCGGAGAGGAGAGUCCGGGGGCGGCGGCGAGGCUGCGCCCUCCGCUCCCUGCCGAUCCCCCGCGGCCGAGCGGCUCCAGGCCCGGCCGGAGAGCGCGGGCCGCCAGGCAGCGGAGGAAGAGAGGAGGAGGACCUGGAGGCUCGCCGAGGGAGGGUGCCCGGGGCGAGGGCGUGUGACUCCCCGCGCGAGGGUGUGUGUGAGUGCGUGUGUGUGUGUGUGUGUGUGUGUAUAGAGAGGGGCGCGCGCGCGAGCGGGGGGCGGGGAGACGAGGCAGAGCCUGGUGCGUCUCCCCGAGCGAGUGGAGGAAUCCUAGGGUGUGCCUGGAGGUGGCGGAGUGUACCAGCGCGGGUGGAAGCGCGUGUGCCGGCGAGGGUGGGCACGGGGGUGAGCGUGGCAAGGUGA